GACGAACGCUGGCGGCGUGCCUAAUACAUGCAAGUAGGACGCACAGUUUAUACCGUAGCUUGCUACACCAUAGACUGUGAGUUGCGAACGGGUGAGUAACGCGUAGGUAACCUGCCUAUUAGAGGGGGAUAACUAUUGGAAACGAUAGCUAAUACCGCAUAACAGUAUGUAACACAUGUUAGAUGCUUGAAAGAUGCAAUUGCAUCGCUAGUAGAUGGACCUGCGUUGUAUUAGCUAGUAGGUAGGGUAAAGGCCUACCUAGGCAACGAUACAUAGCCGACCUGAGAGGGUGAUCGGCCACACUGGGACUGAGACACGGCCCAGACUCCUACGGGAGGCAGCAGUAGGGAAUCUUCGGCAAUGGGGGGAACCCUGACCGAGCAACGCCGCGUGAGUGAAGAAGGUUUUCGGAUCGUAAAGCUCUGUUGUUAAAGGAAAGAAACGAGUGUGAGAAAUGGAAAAG
Molecule: ribosomal RNA, 463 nt
Filed under: Streptococcus anginosus
Lineage: Bacteria; Bacillati; Bacillota; Bacilli; Lactobacillales; Streptococcaceae
Description: bacterial SSU rRNA
Rfam family: Bacterial small subunit ribosomal RNA
Source: RNAcentral